UGGGGAAUUUUGGACAAUGGGCGAAAGCCUGAUCCAGCAAUGCCGCGUGUGUGAAGAAGGCCUUCGGGUUGUAAAGCACUUUUGUCCGGAAAGAAAUCCUUGGCUCUAAUACAGUCGGGGGAUGACGGUACCGGAAGAAUAAGCACCGGCUAACUACGUGCCAGCAGCCGCGGUAAUACGUAGGGUGCAAGCGUUAAUCGGAAUUACUGGGCGUAAAGCGUGCGCAGGCGGUUUGCUAAGACCGAUGUGAAAUCCCCGGGCUCAACCUGGGAACUGCAUUGGUGACUGGCAGGCUAGAGUAUGGCAGAGGGGGGUAGAAUUCCACGUGUAGCAGUGAAAUGCGUAGAGAUGUGGAGGAAUACCGAUGGCGAAGGCAGCCCCCUGGGCCAAUACUGACGCUCAUGCACGAAAGCGUGGGGAGCAAACAGGAUUAGAUACCCUGGUAGUCCACGCCCUAAACGAUGUCAACUAGUUAUUGGGGAUUCAUUUCCUUAGUAACGUAGCUAACGCGUGAAGUUGACCGCCUGGGGAGUACGGUCGCAAGAUUAAAACUUAAAUGAAUUGACGGGGUCAUAGCUGUUUCCU
Molecule: ribosomal RNA, 585 nt
Filed under: uncultured bacterium
Lineage: Bacteria
Description: partial 16S ribosomal RNA
Rfam family: Bacterial small subunit ribosomal RNA
Source: RNAcentral